CACAACAAUCCCAAUGUCAGCAGUGCCACGAGAUGAGACCCUCAGCCUUGAGAAACUGGAAAAGAUGAAGAGAGGAGAAAAUGAGCAGAGGGCACUGCCUGCUUAUGUCCAUGUGCUUCUUUUCCACCUCAGAAACAACACAGCAUCUUUUGUCGUCUUUGAUGCUGCCUCUCCCGUAUUGAUUACGCUUUAUUAUUCCUGAAGACUCGGGUGUGUGACGUAAGUAACCCUAUGUCGGACCCAAGCCCAGUAGGAUAAACGAAAACGGGAGGGCAAAUUGGAACAUGUACCGUAACAACGAGAGCAUUCUUUCUAUGACUUGAAAAAGUCUUCAGAUCCUUGGUUUAAUUUAAUCAGCAAUACGUUCAUCUGCAUAUGGCAUUUAGCAGCAAAGUAAACUUUUUUUCCUGAGUCAUUUGUUUCCAAAUCAGUGGGAACAAAGGAUAUCCCAGUUCCAUUCAAGCAGCUUCAAUGAUUCUCAAACAAACGUGGGAGUCAUAGCUGAGCCAUUUAAAAUAUACAGUGAUGAGAAAGCAUACUUGGUAAUCUUGUCAACAUUCCUUUAAGGAGAAUAUCCAAGUGUCCUUUUACUAUAAUAACGCUUUGUACUUUGAAAUGUUCAGAUGUCAAUAAAAUAGAAUUGAACACAACAGCCUAGAAGAAUGCCGUUUCCAAGUUUUCUAGUAAUGGUGCUGUGAAAACAGUAUGUAUUUUUCAGUUUAACACUCCGAAAAUCAAAUUUCCUCACCCCAAGAUUGGCUCCAUUUACACAAAAGCACUUUGGACCCAUAUUUAACCAACCAUCAAAAGUGAUUCAAAAGAAGGCUAAUUGAACACUGAGGUUUUUGAAGCUCUCAAAUGAUGACCCAGGUUUUUUCUUGAAAACACUCACAGCGGCAGCUUGGCAGGAAGCAGGAAUGAAACCUGCCCUCCAAACUGGAAGAAAAACUUCCAAUAACAAACUGCGAGGUUUGAGAUCACUGCAUGUUAUAUUAUUCAUUAUUCAAAUGGCCUCUAGCCCUAUUACACAGCCUUUUCUCUGGCGUCUGAGCUGCCCCAAGAAAUGUACUUUAGUAAGACCGAGCCCCCCUUUCAGAGGAAAGGAGAACCUCCUUAUCUCCGCUUUCUGCCUCCCUGUCUCUGCGUUCUAUCUGUUCUAUCUCUGUUCCAUCUGCGUGUUUUGCAAUCUCCUCAGUGUUCCAAAGGCCAAUGAAAUCUCUCUCCCACAGGGGCCAGCGAUGGCAGACCUCAACCAAAUAAAAGUUAUGCAAAGGCAAGCUGGAAAAUCUGCACAGGGGAGAUUUCACCAAGAGGAGAGGGGCCUGAUAUUUUCCGUCUAAAUCCUUAGGCCUCACUCCAGCCUACAAAGACAAGUGGCAGGAAACUUAACAGCGAUAAUCAAAUGAGCUCAGCCAGCCUCGGGAUGGUUCUUGUAAGAACUGUGUGUGUGGAGAAGGGAUGCAGGCUUUCUGCCCAGGAGAACCUAGAGAGAAAAAACUGCUCUUCCCAAAAUCCCUGAAGUCUGCUGCCAGGGGCUCAGUACAUGCCUGACCAAAAAGAGAAAACUGCCCACCUAACCGGUUCGGCUGUUUCCUGGCUACUACGGACAGAAGCAGACAGAACCUUAUCAUUUCAGUUAUGUCUAACUUGGACAUUAUUUUCAAGUAAAUAUUGGUAAUUUCAAGGCUCUUUCCUUGCCGUGUGACCUGGCGUGACGGACAAUGCUGUCUCCGAGGAAGCUGACUCCAUAGCAACAAGCCAGGGAAGCCUGCACCUUCCACCCAGGGGGCCUCCCACGAGCAUUUUGGAGACUCGGGACUUUGCAGUUAUCUUGUCAGGGGGUGGCUGAGGGAAGAAGCUUCUUCCUUUGCCCUCUGGGCCCCUCCCAGCGGUCUGGGUUUCUGUGGAUCACUCUGUGCUUCUCAAUGAAUCCAGCGCUGGGCAUUUUUCUCUUUUCAUUCAGGAAGUGGUGAGCUGAGCCCUGAGAUUCUUUCUGCUCCGAUGAUAUAAACAAAUUGUAGAGGAAGUCAAGUCAAAUUUUCCCUUGCUGGUUUUGUUCUCCCAACUAGCAAUUCAGAAAACAGAGCCAACUUUUUUUUUUUUUUUUGGAUGCCUUUUAAAGAUUGCUGUUAACUGGAAAGACAAGAAACCCUUGUAG
Molecule: long non-coding RNA, 2158 nt
Filed under: Sus scrofa (pig)
Lineage: Eukaryota; Metazoa; Chordata; Mammalia; Artiodactyla; Suidae
Description: lncRNA (ENSSSCG00050060268.1)
Source: RNAcentral